AGGGCAGGCAAGGUUUAGAACAGAGGUGGGAAAUGUAAAUCGCAUUAUUGUUUUGUUUUUCAAGUAGGCUCGAUGCUCGGCUCACGACCCUGAGAUCAAGACCUGAGCUGAGAUCAAGAGUCAGACGCUUAACCCACUGAGCCACCCAGGCACUCCUGGAAAUAGCAUUAUUGGAUGGCAGUGAGAGAAUGGCCCGGCAACAUCUUGGGGCAGAGGGGUGGAUGGUUUGGAAGAGGGAGGGCCUGGGGACAAAGGACUCAGUUUGGGUGCUGGUGACUCCUCCCAGGAGACGGUAAGGACCUGAAGUACAGAUAUUAUCAGGAAGAUUGGAUACACAGCUGGAGUAGGGGUUCCAGAUUUAGCAAAUGAAAUUUCAGGACACAGUGCAAGAGACAUUCUUAAACUAAAAUAUGAUUUGUUGGAUAUCUGAAUUUCACAUUUAGCCAGACAUCCCUGCAUUUUCUCUGGUAUCCGUGCACUGGUGGAGAGCAAGUUAGAGCCAAACCAUGAAGGCCUUGAACGCCGUGCCAGAAUGUUUACCCUCUGCCCUGAGAGUAAUGAGGAGCCACUGAAGGGGCUUAACCUGAGGAUGGACAUAAUCACCUAUGCCUUUUAGAAAGGUGGCUCGGGUUGUGGCAAGGAGAGUGGAUGGAGCAGGGGGUGGGGUUGGGGCGGCUAGAGGCUGUGACAGCAAUUCAAGGGACAGAGGAGCAAGGCCCGAGUCAGGGCAGAGGCAGCGAGCAUAGAGAGGAGGGUAGAGUCCAGGAGCGACUCAGCUCCAAUCAGAAGAUACUACCUGAAUUCUAAGUACACACUGAGGGGUAAGGCAUGGGCGUUGCGACCAAACGUCCAGGGCCAGUGGAAGAAGCAGCCUCCAAGUGGGGGGCAGGGCAGAGCAGCCUGCGAUCUCUCCCACUGCCUCCUGCCACCCAAGGGAAGAAAGUGAGGCGCGCGUGCUGGCGAAGCUUCGCUGGAGGAUCUUGAGCAGCUGCCGGAGAAACCCCUCCCAGUGUCUCCCUGGCUGGGCGGUGUGUCAGUCUCUGGCUACCAUCUUUGUCCGCUUCCCGAGGAACGGGACCACAGCUGCAGUUGCCUUGGUACAACCAAUGGGGGACAGUGUCCUGCAGUGGUUAAAGGCGUGGGCUCUGAAACAAGACUGAAUCCUGGCUCGCUCCUGUGUAACCUCAGGCAAGCUACUUGGCCUCACCAUGCC
This is a long non-coding RNA of Ursus maritimus (polar bear), 1213 nucleotides long. Lineage: Eukaryota; Metazoa; Chordata; Mammalia; Carnivora; Ursidae. The record is from Ensembl.